This 426-nucleotide ribosomal RNA is filed under the name uncultured bacterium. RNAcentral's name for it is "bacterial SSU rRNA". It matches the Rfam family "Bacterial small subunit ribosomal RNA", at positions 506 to 930 of the family's 1533-position model. The record is from RNAcentral.
AGCCAGCAGCCGCGGUAAUACGUAGGUGGCAAGCGUUGUCCGGAAUUACUGGGCGUAAAGGGCGUGUAGGCGGCGAUUUAAGUCAGACGUGAAAGCCCAGGGCUUAACCUUGGGACUGCGUUUGAAACUGGAUGGCUAGAGGAUCGGAGAGGGCAGUGGAAUUCCCAGUGUAGCGGUGAAAUGCGUAGAUAUUGGGAGGAACACCAGUGGCGAAGGCGACUGCCUGGACGACACCUGACGCUGAGGCGCGAAAGCUAGGGGAGCAAACGGGAUUAGAUACCCCGGUAGUCCUAGCCGUAAACGAUGGGUACUAGGUGUGGGAGGUAUCGACCCCUUCCGUGCCGGAGCAAACGCAAUAAGUACCCCGCCUGGGGAGUACGGCCGCAAGGUUGAAACUCAAAGGAAUUGACGGGGGCCCGCACAAGU